UACGGAGGGUGCGAUCGUUGUUGGGAAUCAUUGGGCGUAAAGCGCGUGUAGGCGGCUUGGUAAGUCGGGUGUGAAAUCCCGGGGCUCAACCCCGGAACUGCAUUCGAAACUGCCUCGCUAGAGUUCCGGAGAGGUAGGCGGAAUUCCCGGUGUAGAGGUGAAAUUCGUAGAUAUCGGGAGGAACACCAGCGGCGAAGGCGGCCUUCUGGACGGUGACUGACGCUGAGACGCGAAAGCGUGGGGAGAAAACAGG
RNAcentral lists this ribosomal RNA (253 nucleotides) under uncultured bacterium. Its description in RNAcentral is "partial 16S ribosomal RNA". It matches the Rfam family "Bacterial small subunit ribosomal RNA", at positions 524 to 776 of the family's 1533-position model. The record is from RNAcentral.